This 2904-nucleotide ribosomal RNA is filed under the name Escherichia coli. Its description in RNAcentral is "23S ribosomal RNA". It matches the Rfam family "Bacterial large subunit ribosomal RNA". The record is from RNAcentral. Lineage: Bacteria; Pseudomonadati; Pseudomonadota; Gammaproteobacteria; Enterobacterales; Enterobacteriaceae.
GGUUAAGCGACUAAGCGUACACGGUGGAUGCCCUGGCAGUCAGAGGCGAUGAAGGACGUGCUAAUCUGCGAUAAGCGUCGGUAAGGUGAUAUGAACCGUUAUAACCGGCGAUUUCCGAAUGGGGAAACCCAGUGUGAUUCGUCACACUAUCAUUAACUGAAUCCAUAGGUUAAUGAGGCGAACCGGGGGAACUGAAACAUCUAAGUACCCCGAGGAAAAGAAAUCAACCGAGAUUCCCCCAGUAGCGGCGAGCGAACGGGGAGCAGCCCAGAGCCUGAAUCAGUGUGUGUGUUAGUGGAAGCGUCUGGAAAGGCGCGCGAUACAGGGUGACAGCCCCGUACACAAAAAUGCACAUGCUGUGAGCUCGAUGAGUAGGGCGGGACACGUGGUAUCCUGUCUGAAUAUGGGGGGACCAUCCUCCAAGGCUAAAUACUCCUGACUGACCGAUAGUGAACCAGUACCGUGAGGGAAAGGCGAAAAGAACCCCGGCGAGGGGAGUGAAAAAGAACCUGAAACCGUGUACGUACAAGCAGUGGGAGCCUCUUUAUGGGGUGACUGCGUACCUUUUGUAUAAUGGGUCAGCGACUUAUAUUCUGUAGCAAGGUUAACCGAAUAGGGGAGCCGAAGGGAAACCGAGUCUUAACUGGGCGUUAAGUUGCAGGGUAUAGACCCGAAACCCGGUGAUCUAGCCAUGGGCAGGUUGAAGGUUGGGUAACACUAACUGGAGGACCGAACCGACUAAUGUUGAAAAAUUAGCGGAUGACUUGUGGCUGGGGGUGAAAGGCCAAUCAAACCGGGAGAUAGCUGGUUCUCCCCGAAAGCUAUUUAGGUAGCGCCUCGUGAAUUCAUCUCCGGGGGUAGAGCACUGUUUCGGCAAGGGGGUCAUCCCGACUUACCAACCCGAUGCAAACUGCGAAUACCGGAGAAUGUUAUCACGGGAGACACACGGCGGGUGCUAACGUCCGUCGUGAAGAGGGAAACAACCCAGACCGCCAGCUAAGGUCCCAAAGUCAUGGUUAAGUGGGAAACGAUGUGGGAAGGCCCAGACAGCCAGGAUGUUGGCUUAGAAGCAGCCAUCAUUUAAAGAAAGCGUAAUAGCUCACUGGUCGAGUCGGCCUGCGCGGAAGAUGUAACGGGGCUAAACCAUGCACCGAAGCUGCGGCAGCGACACUAUGUGUUGUUGGGUAGGGGAGCGUUCUGUAAGCCUGUGAAGGUGUGCUGUGAGGUAUGCUGGAGGUAUCAGAAGUGCGAAUGCUGACAUAAGUAACGAUAAAGCGGGUGAAAAGCCCGCUCGCCGGAAGACCAAGGGUUCCUGUCCAACGUUAAUCGGGGCAGGGUGAGUCGACCCCUAAGGCGAGGCCGAAAGGCGUAGUCGAUGGGAAACAGGUUAAUAUUCCUGUACUUGGUGUUACUGCGAAGGGGGGACGGAGAAGGCUAUGUUGGCCGGGCGACGGUUGUCCCGGUUUAAGCGUGUAGGCUGGUUUUCCAGGCAAAUCCGGAAAAUCAAGGCUGAGGCGUGAUGACGAGGCACUACGGUGCUGAAGCAACAAAUGCCCUGCUUCCAGGAAAAGCCUCUAAGCAUCAGGUAACAUCAAAUCGUACCCCAAACCGACACAGGUGGUCAGGUAGAGAAUACCAAGGCGCUUGAGAGAACUCGGGUGAAGGAACUAGGCAAAAUGGUGCCGUAACUUCGGGAGAAGGCACGCUGAUAUGUAGGUGAAGUCCCUUGCGGAUGGAGCUGAAAUCAGUCGAAGAUACCAGCUGGCUGCAACUGUUUAUUAAAAACACAGCACUGUGCAAACACGAAAGUGGACGUAUACGGUGUGACGCCUGCCCGGUGCCGGAAGGUUAAUUGAUGGGGUUAGCGGUAACGCGAAGCUCUUGAUCGAAGCCCCGGUAAACGGCGGCCGUAACUAUAACGGUCCUAAGGUAGCGAAAUUCCUUGUCGGGUAAGUUCCGACCUGCACGAAUGGCGUAAUGAUGGCCAGGCUGUCUCCACCCGAGACUCAGUGAAAUUGAACUCGCUGUGAAGAUGCAGUGUACCCGCGGCAAGACGGAAAGACCCCGUGAACCUUUACUAUAGCUUGACACUGAACAUUGAGCCUUGAUGUGUAGGAUAGGUGGGAGGCUUUGAAGUGUGGACGCCAGUCUGCAUGGAGCCGACCUUGAAAUACCACCCUUUAAUGUUUGAUGUUCUAACGUUGGCCCCUGAUCGGGGUUGCGGACAGUGUCUGGUGGGUAGUUUGACUGGGGCGGUCUCCUCCUAAAGAGUAACGGAGGAGCACGAAGGUUGGCUAAUCCUGGUCGGACAUCAGGAGGUUAGUGCAAUGGCAUAAGCCAGCUUGACUGCGAGCGUGACGGCGCGAGCAGGUGCGAAAGCAGGUCAUAGUGAUCCGGUGGUUCUGAAUGGAAGGGCCAUCGCUCAACGGAUAAAAGGUACUCCGGGGAUAACAGGCUGAUACCGCCCAAGAGUUCAUAUCGACGGCGGUGUUUGGCACCUCGAUGUCGGCUCAUCACAUCCUGGGGCUGAAGUAGGUCCCAAGGGUAUGGCUGUUCGCCAUUUAAAGUGGUACGCGAGCUGGGUUUAGAACGUCGUGAGACAGUUCGGUCCCUAUCUGCCGUGGGCGCUGGAGAACUGAGGGGGGCUGCUCCUAGUACGAGAGGACCGGAGUGGACGCAUCACUGGUGUUCGGGUUGUCAUGCCAAUGGCACUGCCCGGUAGCUAAAUGCGGAAGAGAUAAGUGCUGAAAGCAUCUAAGCACGAAACUUGCCCCGAGAUGAGUUCUCCCUGACUCCUUGAGAGUCCUGAAGGAACGUUGAAGACGACGACGUUGAUAGGCCGGGUGUGUAAGCGCAGCGAUGCGUUGAGCUAACCGGUACUAAUGAACCGUGAGGCUUAACCUU